This 672-nucleotide ribosomal RNA is filed under the name Citrobacter sp. Its description in RNAcentral is "bacterial SSU rRNA". It matches the Rfam family "Bacterial small subunit ribosomal RNA", at positions 89 to 757 of the family's 1533-position model. The record is from RNAcentral. Lineage: Bacteria; Pseudomonadati; Pseudomonadota; Gammaproteobacteria; Enterobacterales; Enterobacteriaceae.
UGACGAGUGGCGGACGGGUGAGUAAUGUCUGGGAAACUGCCCGAUGGAGGGGGAUAACUACUGGAAACGGUAGCUAAUACCGCAUAAUGUCGCAAGACCAAAGAGGGGGACCUUCGGGCCUCUUGCCAUCGGAUGUGCCCAGAUGGGAUUAGCUAGUAGGUGGGGUAACGGCUCACCUAGGCGACGAUCCCUAGCUGGUCUGAGAGGAUGACCAGCCACACUGGAACUGAGACACGGUCCAGACUCCUACGGGAGGCAGCAGUGGGGAAUAUUGCACAAUGGGCGCAAGCCUGAUGCAGCCAUGCCGCGUGUAUGAAGAAGGCCUUCGGGUUGUAAAGUACUUUCAGCGAGGAGGAAGGCAUUAAGGUUAAUAACCUUAGUGAUUGACGUUACUCGCAGAAGAAGCACCGGCUAACUCCGUGCCAGCAGCCGCGGUAAUACGGAGGGUGCAAGCGUUAAUCGGAAUUACUGGGCGUAAAGCGCACGCAGGCGGUCUGUCAAGUCGGAUGUGAAAUCCCCGGGCUCAACCUGGGAACUGCAUCCGAAACUGGCAGGCUAGAGUCUUGUAGAGGGGGGUAGAAUUCCAGGUGUAGCGGUGAAAUGCGUAGAGAUCUGGAGGAAUACCGGUGGCGAAGGCGGCCCCCUGGACAAAGACUGACGCUCAGGUGCGAA